Molecule: ribosomal RNA, 468 nt
Filed under: uncultured bacterium
Lineage: Bacteria
Description: partial 16S ribosomal RNA
Rfam family: Bacterial small subunit ribosomal RNA
Source: RNAcentral
GACGAACGCUGGCGGCGUGCUUAACACAUGCAAGUCGAACGGAAAGGCCCUGCUUUUGUGGGGUGCUCGAGUGGCGAACGGGUGAGUAACACGUGAGUAACCUGCCCUUGACUUUGGGAUAACUUCAGGAAACUGGGGCUAAUACCGGAUAGGAGCUCCUGCUGCAUGGUGGGGGUUGGAAAGUUUCGGCGGUUGGGGAUGGACUCGCGGCUUAUCAGCUUGUUGGUGGGGUAGUGGCUUACCAAGGCUUUGACGGGUAGCCGGCCUGAGAGGGUGACCGGCCACAUUGGGACUGAGAUACGGCCCAGACUCCUACGGGAGGCAGCGGUGGGGAGUAUUGCACAGUGGGCGGAAGCCUGAUGCAGCAACGCCGCGUGCGGGAUGACGGGCUUCGGGUUGUAAACCGCUUUCGCCUGUGACGAGGCGUGAGUGACGGUAAUGGGUAAAGAAGCACCGGCUAACUACGUG